Molecule: small RNA, 556 nt
Filed under: Aspergillus baarnensis
Lineage: Eukaryota; Fungi; Ascomycota; Eurotiomycetes; Eurotiales; Aspergillaceae
Description: eukaryotic LSU rRNA
Rfam family: Eukaryotic large subunit ribosomal RNA
Source: RNAcentral
GCGGAGGAAAAGAAACCAACCGGGAUUGCCUCAGUAACGGCGAGUGAAGCGGCAAGAGCUCAAAUUUGAAAUCUGGCCCCUCCGGGGUCCGAGUUGUAAUUUGUAGAGGAUGCUUCGGGUGCGGCCCCCGUCGAAGUGCCCUGGAACGGGCCGUCGGAGAGGGUGAGAAUCCCGUCUGGGACGGGGUGCCCGCGCCCGUGUGAAGCUCCCUCGACGAGUCGAGUUGUUUGGGAAUGCAGCUCUAAGUGGGUGGUAAAUUUCAUCUAAAGCUAAAUACCGGCCGGAGACCGAUAGCGCACAAGUAGAGUGAUCGAAAGAUGAAAAGCACCUUGAAAAGGGAGUUAAACAGCACGUGAAAUUGUUGAAAGGGAAGCGCUGACGACCAGACUCGCCCGCGGGGUUCAGCCGGCAUUCGUGCCGGUGUACUUCCCCGCGGGCGGGCCAGCGUCGGUUUGGGCGGUCGGUCAAAGGCCCCCGGAAUGUAGCGCCCCUCGGGGCGCGUUAUAGCCGGGGGUGCAAUGCGGCCUGCCUAGACCGAGGAACGCGCUUCGGCUCG